AUCUCGGUUGAUCCUGCCAGUAGUCAUAUGCUUGUCUUAAAGAUUAAUCCAUGCAUGUGUAAGUAUAAGUAUUGUACAGCGAAACUGCGAAUGGCUCAUUACAUCAGUUAUAAUUUAUUUGAUAAUCGAAAGUUACAUGGAUAACCGUGACAAAUUACAGCUAAUACAUGCAGUCAGACCUGGUCCAAGGGUCGUAAUUAUUAGUAUUAAACCAUUUCCGCAAGGAGUGUGAUGAUUCAUAAUAAUCGAACGAAUCGCCUGGUGUGCGAUAAAUCAUUCAAGUUUCUGCCCUAUCAGCUUUGGAUGGUAGUGUAUUGGACUACCAUGGCAGUCACGGGUAACGGAGAAUUAGGGUUCGAUUCCGGAGAGGGAGCCUGAGAAACGGCUACCACAUCUACGGAAGGCAGCAGGAGCGAAAAUUGCCCAAUCCCGACACGGGGAGGCAGUGACGAGAAAUAACAACUCUUGGUUAUUCUAAGAAGUGUAAUGAGGAUAAUUUAAAACCCUUACCGAAAGCAAUUGGAGGGCAAGUCUGGUGCCAGCAGCCGCGGUAAUUCCAGCUCCAAUAGCGUAUAUUAAAGUUGUUGCAGUUAAAAAGCUCGUAGUUGAAGUUCUGGCUGCUCGACCCUCGAGCUCUGUAGCCGGGGGCUCGGCAGUCAUCCGCUUGCAAACAUAUGUUCGCCUUUAACCGGGCGGCUAUGUGAGCAAGCAUUUUACCUUGAGAAAAACAGAGUGUUCCAGGCAGGUUUGUCCGGAAUGCAUUAGCAUGGAAUAAUAGAAUAUGACUGAAGUCGAUUUAUUGGUUUGAGGCUUUAGUAAUGAUUAAUAGGAACAGUCGGGGGCAUUGGUACUUGUCAGUCAGAGGUGAAAUUCUAGGAUUUGACAAAGACUAACAAAUGCGAAAGCAUUUGCCAAGGAUGUUUUCAUUAAUCAAGAACGAAAGUUAGGGGAUCAAAGACGAUCAGAUACCGUCCUAGUCUUAACUAUAAACUAUACCGACUCGGAUUCAGAUGAAUCAUAAAGUUCAUUUGGGACCGUAGGAGAAAUCAAAGUUUUUGGGUUCUGGGGGAAGUAUGGUCGCAAGGCUGAAACUUAAAGGAAUUGACGGUUUUGCACCACCAUGGAGUGGAGUCUGCGGCUUAAUUUGACUCAACACUGGGAAACUCAUCAGGGCAAGAAGAUUGUAGGAUUGACAGAUUGAGAGUUCUUUCUUGAUUGGUCUAGUGGUGGUGCAUGGCCGUUCUUAGUUGGUGGAGUGAUUUGUCUGGUUAAUUCCGUUAACGAACGAGACCUUAACCUGCUAACUAGUAUAUCGAUGACAAAUCGAUAUUACUUCUUAGAGGGACUAUGUGAUGUAAUCACAUGGAAGUUUGAGGCAAUAACAGGUCUGUGAUGCCCUUAGAUGUCCUGAGCUGCACGCGUACUACAAUGGUGCUUUCAACGAGCUUUUCCUGAUCCGAAAGGAUUUGGGUAAUCUUUUUAGUGAGCACCGUGUUUGGGAUAGAUCUUUGUAAUUAUGGAUCUUGAACUAGGAAUUCCUAGUAAGCGCGCGUCAUCAGCGCGUGCUGAUUACGUCCCUGCAAAAUGUACACACCGCCCGUCGCUAUUACCGAUUGAGUGUAAAGGUGAACCUUCUCGAUAGACGCAAGUUUAAAAAUUAAGUAAACCUUUGCACUUAGAGGAAAUAAAAGUCGUAACAAGGUUUCCGUAGGUGAACCUGCAGAAGGAUCAA
Molecule: ribosomal RNA, 1732 nt
Filed under: uncultured ciliate
Lineage: Eukaryota; Ciliophora
Description: SSU rRNA
Rfam family: Eukaryotic small subunit ribosomal RNA
Source: RNAcentral